GCCGAGUUACUCAAGCGGUCAACGAGGGCAGACUGUAAAUCUGCUGCCAUUUGGCUACGCAGGUUCGAAUCCUGCACUCGGCA
Molecule: transfer RNA, 83 nt
Filed under: Pseudomonadales bacterium
Lineage: Bacteria; Pseudomonadati; Pseudomonadota; Gammaproteobacteria; Pseudomonadales
Description: tRNA-Tyr
Rfam family: tRNA
About the family: Transfer RNA (tRNA) molecules are approximately 80 nucleotides in length. Their secondary structure includes four short double-helical elements and three loops (D, anti-codon, and T loops).
Source: RNAcentral